This 253-nucleotide ribosomal RNA is filed under the name uncultured bacterium. RNAcentral describes it as "partial 16S ribosomal RNA". It matches the Rfam family "Bacterial small subunit ribosomal RNA", at positions 524 to 776 of the family's 1533-position model. The record is from RNAcentral.
UACAGAGGUCUCAAGCGUUGUUCGGAUUCAUUGGGCGUAAAGGGUGCGUAGGCGGCGUGGUAAGUCGGAUGUGAAAUCUCGGAGCUUAACUCCGAAACUGCAUUCGAUACUGCCGUGCUUGAGGACUGGAGAGGAGACUGGAAUUUACGGUGUAGCGGUGAAAUGCGUAGAUAUCGGGAGGAACACCAGUGGCGAAGGCGAGUCUCUGGGCUGUAUCUGACGCUGAUGCGCGAAAGCUAGGGGAGCAAACGGG